RNAcentral lists this ribosomal RNA (484 nucleotides) under uncultured bacterium. Its description in RNAcentral is "partial 16S ribosomal RNA". It matches the Rfam family "Bacterial small subunit ribosomal RNA", at positions 30 to 507 of the family's 1533-position model. The record is from RNAcentral.
AUUGAACGCUAGCGGGAUGCUUUACACAUGCAAGUCGAACGGCAGCGCGGACUUCGGUCUGGCGGCGAGUGGCGAACGGGUGAGUAAUGUAUCGGAACGUGCCCAGUAGCGGGGGAUAACUACGCGAAAGCGUAGCUAAUACCGCAUACGCCCUACGGGGGAAAGCAGAGGAUCGUAAGACCUUGCACUAUUGGAGCGGCCGAUAUCGGAUUAGCUAGUUGGUGAGGUAACGGCUCACCAAGGCGACGAUCCGUAGCUGGUUUGAGAGGACGACCAGCCACACUGGGACUGAGACACGGCCCAGACUCCUACGGGAGGAAGCAGUGGGGAAUUUUGGACAAUGGGGGCAACCCUGAUCCAGCCAUCCCGCGUGUGCGAUGAAGGCCUUCGGGUUGUAAAGCACUUUUGGCAGGAAAGAAACGUCGCGGGCUAAUACCCCGUGGAACUGACGGUACCUGCAGAAUAAGCACCGGCUAACUACGUG